This 776-nucleotide ribosomal RNA is filed under the name Pithecopus nordestinus. Its description in RNAcentral is "LSU rRNA". The stretch from base 112 to 776 matches the Rfam family "Bacterial large subunit ribosomal RNA", at positions 569 to 1729 of the family's 2925-position model. Lineage: Eukaryota; Metazoa; Chordata; Amphibia; Anura; Hylidae. The record is from RNAcentral.
UAAAACAUUCUAUAGUUAUAGUAAAGGCGAUCGAAAUAUCUUUUGGAGUAAUAUUUAUAGUACCGCAAGGGAACAGUGAAAUAAAAAUGAAAUAACUAUAAAGCACCUGAUAGUAGAGAUUUCCCCUCGUACCUUUUGCAUCAUGAUUUAACUAGUUUAUUCAAGCAAAAAGCACUAAAGUUUGCCCCCCCGAAACUAAGCGAGCUACUUCGAGGCAGUCUCAAGAACUAACCCGUCUCUGUUGCAAAAGAGUGGGAAGACCUUCAAGUAGAGGUGACAGACCUAACGAGCUUAGUGAUAGCUGGUUACUUAAGAAAAGGAUCUUAGUCCUCCCCAAAUUUUUUACAAUAUUUAUAAAUAAAAACUAAAAUUUGGAGUUAUUCAAAUAAGGUACAGCCUAUUUGAAUCAGGAUACAACCUCCUCAAACGGGUAAUUAAAUCCAUAAACAGCAAAGUAGGCCUAAAAGCAGCCAUCUUCAAAAAGCGUCAAAGCUUAUCUUCAAAUUUUCAUAAUCCCCCUAAUUUUUUAAACCCCUUAAUCUUUAUUAAGUAACUCUAUAAAAUUAUAGUAUUUAUUAUGUUAAAACUAGUAACAAGAAUCAGAACUUCUCUUUAAUGUAAGUGUAAAUCAGAAUGGACAAACCACUGAUUUUUAACACUUGAAACCAAAGUAACAACCCACCAAGAAAAUCUUACCUCAAAUAGUGUUAACCUGACACAAGAACAUUCUCAGACAGAUUGAAAGGAAAAGAAGGAACUCGGCAAACAUUAACCCC